GGACGAGAUGAUUGAUGAAAAAUCGGACAUUUUUUUUCUUUUCCCUCUUGUUAUGGCUUGAAUACUGAUAUAAUUUCACUUUAAUAAGACAAUAAGUCAGAACUCAGUUAUAUCAGUAGAGAUUUCAAGACCCUGAAAAUUUUAAUAUCCAGAUCACGGAACAUCUUGCCGUUUGAUUACCUUAGAACGUUCAUACACAUCCGUCACAACUCGGCUGAUUCCGUACCUUGAUACAGACGGAGAGUACCGGAUUCACCCGAGGAUUGCUGAUUGGUUCAUUACAGUCAAAGUAACAUUUUGAAAAGUUUGGAGUAAGACUAAUGUGUCAGCUAAUAAGUCGAUUCCAAUAUUUCCCGGAGAAUUAUUAUCUAGUAAGCAAACACAUUGAAAAUCCACAGUAAUUUUUCGAUCAAGUACAAAGUACGAAAUUAUAAUAUGUUGUUGUCUUGAAUAUACACGAUUUGAGAUUGAUCGUACUGGACAUUAAGAUGUAUAGAUUCCAGUCUCCCUGGUACCGUGAAAAAGGAAGUGUUCAAAAUCCAAUUCAAGCAUAGAGUUUUCUAGUUAAAUUUAUUUGUAUUGUUACUACAUAGUUAAUAAUAAAUGUCAUAAAUUUUUUAUGCACAAUAUGUUACCCAUUGUGCAUGUUGUAUGUCAAGCAAUUAUCAACCGGGAUCUCACAUAAAUUUUACUAUUUUAUAUAAAAAAGAAUAUUUGUGAUGUGUCAGGUUUACAACAUUGUAUAACCUGCCGUCUUAAAUCAGUUUUAUAAUCAUAUUCUACAAAAAGUUUUUUUUUUUUCAUUUUCAUAAUGUAACAGGUUUCGGUACAUCGACGAAUUUAUUGAUCAUGCAGUUGACGCUUAAGACUUACAUGCAUAUAAAUUAUAUGUAAUAAAAAUGUUUAUAAUGAAUAUUUUUUGAAUAAAAUGUAUACAUAAAUUUGAACACAACAAAAGCAAUUCGUCUAAUAACUUUGAUGUGUUUAUUGCUUGGUCAAUGAUGAUGAUGAUGAUAUUAUGGUUUAUGGUCAAGUGGCAAAUAUUACAUGCAUAGAUUAUCAGAACAGGAAAUUAUAAAUAUACAAAUGUAAUAUAUCUAUGCUUUUGUAAAGGUAAAGGUCCUUGUACGACUUUGCCCCCCGCAGAGCUGAAGAAAAACAAUACAUUAACGGGUGUUACACGGACUCUUUUUAGAUGACACACGGACUCUUUUUAGUUGUUACACGGACACUUUUUAUGAAUAGAAUCACUCGUGCAUGAUCAGUGAGUUCAUGGGCACUUUAACUUUCAAUUAGAUUUGAACUUUUUGGUUAACCGACAUAUUUCCUGUAUUUUUAUUGAACAAAAUAUUUACGUUAGCAUUAAUAUCUUUUUCAAACAUUUCCAGUAAAAUACUAUUCAUAUCAGUACACUAAGGGAUUAGACAUUUAACUUCAAAAAAGGGGGGGUAUGGCUAUCUCCUAAAAAAGAUAUUUUGAUCCCAAAUUGUAUGAGAAAAAAAUUAGUAUGGUCAAGCAGAUGAAAAAUUAAUGUUUUGCACGAUUCCUAAUUUUCCGAAUACCGUAAAUAGUGAUAAUUUAAACAAAAAAAAAAAUGGGGGAUGGCUUUGAAAAGUAAAUAGUUAAUAUUCUCAAAAUAGAACAUACCGCCCCCUUUAUGAAGAAAAUAUUCGGUCAAUAAAUGUUUUCUUCAAUAUAUGGAUAUGAAUAGUAUUUUGGACAAUGUUGAAAGUAAAGAAAUUAUGAUACUGACGUGUAUAUUUCAAUAAAAAUAAGACAAGAAAUAAGUAAAUAAAAAUCAAAUCUUUUCAAAAGAUAAAAUCCCUAUCAACUCACCAAAACACGAUUGAUCCUAUAAACAAAAAGUGUUCAUGUAAUACACGUCAAAAUAAGCUGCAAAUCUAGAAGAAAAUCAUUCAACUAAGUCAUCAAUUGUGGGCGGUAAGCUGCGAUUUGAUCAUAAUGUAACACGUGUUUAUUCCCGAUCAACACUUGCAGAUCUAUAGACGAGCAUGAAUUAAAAAAAAAUUAAAGUAUAUGCCCAAAUAUAAUAUUAAGAUAAAAUCCAAACACAAAAUCCAUUUUUUCAUAAACAUUUCAUUCACUAAUGAAGAAGGAAAUUCAUUCUUUUGAUACAUUUAUAUUGUUAUCGAAUUUAUAUCAGUGGCGGAUCCAGGUCCAAAUCAUCGGCCAGGACAAAAUAGGGGGAAGGGGGGCCAACUUUAUGUCCCCAUUUAAAUGCAUUGAUCAUGCAAAAAAGGGGUGUUCCAACCCCGGGACCCCCACCACUGAAUAUUAAAUUCAUGUAUUUGGCAACAAACGUUCGAUUUUUACGAUUUUUUUUUAAGGGGGGAUGGGCGGAUGGAAUGGCACAUCCUGCAUUUUUUCAUUAAAAAAAAAGAUCACAGCCUGUUAUUUUUAAAAUGAAUUAGCCCCUCCCCCUCCCGCUUUCCGUUUCAUCCAUAAAAAUCAAACGUUAUCCUACUUACCACUAAAAUAUUUCUUUAAUAUACUACUUUUUCACGAAGUUGCAUUUUAAAAAGUUUUAAUCUUUUACUUGAAACGGUUCUUUUUAUAUCAAAUUAUUAGAUUCCUGAUUUUUUUUUUCUUGAAAAAAAAUCUCGAUUGAAGGGAAAUGAAAAAAAAGGUGUUUAUACUAUAACUUACAUUUACUGCUUUAUGGCUAUCUAAAUUUCUCAAAUGUUUAGUCUUGCAAAAUGUAUUAUUACUUUCUUACAAACGUCGUACAAGUCAGAUAAAAAACAAAAGUAACAAAAGAAACAGGCCGGUAACAACCAGCCGAAUAGUUUUUCUGCACUUGUAGUCAGGUCAAGGUCCUCGGCUAUCGCCUCGGACCUUGACCUGACUACUCGUGCAGAAAAACUAUCCGGCAACGGUUGUUACCGGCCUGUUUCUUUGUUACCUUUGUAUUUUAUCUAAUACUUAAUUGAUUUCAAAAUUACAUAUAAAGUUGUUAACGUGCAAUAAUUUAACAACUGUUCACCUAUAAAGUUUCAAUGAUCUCAAUUUUACGGGUGAAGACAGGGCUGUCAAAGGUAGUAUUGAGUGUGUUAUUGACCCAGUUUUCAUUUCACUGGUUAAGUUACUUUAUCGCUUUAACAAUAAAACCAAUAACUGUACCACGUUUUCAUAUACACAAAAUAAAAUAAACUAGCUAUUAGACCAUUGGUUUUCCCGUUUGAAUGGUUUUACACUAGUAAUUUUGGGGCCUUUUAUAGCCUGUUGUUCGGUGUGAGCCAAGGCUCCGUGUUGAAGGCCAUACAUUGAACAAUAAUGGUUUACUUUUAUACAUUGUUAUUUGGAUGGAGAGUUGUCUCAUUGGCACUCACACCACAUCUUCCUAUAUCUAGCUAGCAUGAUUAUGUAUUAAAUUUCAGUUUGAAAUAUAUUUUCUGCAAAUUUAAAAACACAAAUUCAAAAAAUCUUAAUUUUUGUGAUAUUUAUAAUGAAAAUAAGAUAAAUAACUCGAUUUUGUCUUAUUUUUAAUAUGUUAUGAAAGAUUACUAAAGAUGAUACAUUCUACAUGAAAAAUUGCACGUAUUACAUCUUUCUUCUUCUUUACAUCUCAAUUUACUCAUUAUAAUAAUCAAUAUCUACUUUUUUGUUGUAAUUGUUACAGAUUGUUGGCUCAGAAUUAUGAUUAACAUAUUUCAUUUCAAUUUACAUAAUAUAUCAUAUAUGUAAAAAGAAACUUGUACUUAACAAGCAGUUAAAUUACUAAGUUUAAUAUUUAUGAAACGUUUCCAAAUCAGUUGAAAAAAGUACAGUCACAAAAAUACUGAACGGAAAGUCCCUAUUCAAAUGGCAAAAUCAAAUGAUAAAACACUUCAAACGAAUGGAAUUGAAUAAAUCAUGUAAAUAGUGCUUUUAUUUGUCUUAUAAUUUUAUUUAAUAUAUAUUUUACUAAUAAUUUUAUUUAAUGCAUAUUUAACUACAUGUAAUAAUUUCAUUUAUUAAUAAUAUAUAUUUUAAUAAUAAUUUUAUUUAUUAAUAAUAUAUAUUUAACUAAUAAUUUCAUGUAUUAAUUAUAUAUAUUUGACUAAUAAUUUUAUUUAUCAAUAAUAUAUAUUUAACUAAUAAUAUUAUGUAACAUGUUUGAUAUAUAUUUAACUAAUAACAUUAUGUAACAAGUUUGAUAUAUAUUUGACAAAUAAUAUUAUUUAAUAAAUGUUUAAAUAAUAUGAUUAAUCAUAUAUAUUUAACUAAACAAACAACCACAUAACACGGAAGUGGGGUAUGUUAACUUUUAUAUCAUGCAUGUCAAAUGCAUUUCGAAUGUUUUAGCGACAAAAAUAUAUUAGUUUCAAUGUAUGAAUGUGCGAGUAUACGCAGAUCACAAAAAGGGUAUUUCAAAUCAGAACAUUGUUCAAAUCAUAUAGCAGUAAAUAAAAUAACGCAACUCGGAUUAAACACACAAUUGAAUAGAGGCAAAUCACAUUACAUCAUAUUUACACUUGCUCGUGUGAAUAUUUAAGUACAUUUGUAUUAGGUCAGUUAGGUCAAUGAAUUAUAGUAGUCAACACUUCUCUGGUAUUUGAAUUUGUCGAUUCCUAGAGUUACAUGUAAAUGAAUAUGAAAAGUUUUUCAAGUAGAAGAUACCAAAAUCCAAGAGUAAAAAAAUAUACACCAUAUACAGUGUCAUGCUUGGAAUAUAAUCUUGAGUAAAAUAAUUGUAAUAAAAGUUUAUAGUCCAAAGAAUUGGUCUCGCGAUCCAAAUCACAAACAACAUAAAUAUUAAGAUAUAUUGUUGCACCAUAUUAUUAUUAUCACACGUCAUACACUGCUCGUCAUGAUUACCUGAAAAAUAUUAAAAAAGUGAAAUAAAAUCUAAAGGAGAAGACAUAUACAGUAGAUGGAUAUUAAUACGACAGAUAUUUUGCGUUAUUUUUAAUACUUUUUGGAAUUUUGGGUCCUCAUUGCUCUUCAUUUUGUACCUGUUUGGAUUUAUAACUAUUUUGAUCUGAGCGUCACUGAUGCGUCUUAUGUAGACGAAACGCGCUUCUUGUGUAUUAAACUAUAAUCCUGGAACCUUUGAUAACUAUUUACACCACUGGGUCAAUGCCACUGCUGUUGGACGUUUUGUCCCCAAGGGUAUCACCAGUACAGUAGUCAGCACUUUGGUGUUGACAUGAAUAUCAAUUAUAUGGUCAUUUUUUUUAUUAAUAAUUUCCUGCUACAAAACUUUGAAUUUUUCGAAAAACUAUGGAAUUUCUUAUCCCAGUAAUAGAUUACCUGGGCCGUAUUUGGCACAACUUCUUGGAAUUUUGGAUCCUCAAUGCUCUUUAACUUUGUAUUUGUUUUGCUUCAUAACUCUGUUGAUCUGAGCGUCACUAAUGAGUCUUAUGUAGACGAAACGAGCGUAAGGCGUAUUAAAUUAUAAUCCUGGUACCUUUGAUAACUAUUAAUACAGAUUUGUCUAACCUUUAGUAACCUUUCAUACAGAAUAAAAAACCAAAACCACAUUAAACAAAAUAGGACAGCACAUUAAACAGCACAAAAUAAGCAUGCAUUGUCAUUGACUAGAUACGGUACAAAAGUGACGUCACUUAAUUCUAUAUAACUUUUGGACUAUUUUAAAUCUCGGUCUAUUUCUGAAAUUUAUACUUACAUACUUUUGAUUUUUUAACCCUGUAUGCUAACAUUGCCUAUGUGAAAUUUUAAUUUUUUUUGUAUGUACAUUGAACGACAAAUAUAUGUGACGUAUAACAUUUUCUGGCGUCAGACACGCAAAUCAAUGAAUGUGUUUGUAGAUAGAUGUUUUUGUUUUCUGUUAAAUUGUUCCUUUUAAAAUUGUUAUCAGAUGAUGACUGCUGUACCCAUAUUUUGACUAUUUUAUUUAUUGUGUCAUUUUAGUUAACGCAUCUUUGUAAAUAUAACGAAAUUCGAUGAGACUGUCAUCAAAGUGAGAGGUUUAGCGCUAUCAAACCAGGUUUAAUCAACCAUUUUCUACAUUUAAAAAUGUCUGUACCAAUCAUGAUAUGACAGUUCGUGUCCAUUCGUUUUGAUGCGUUUUGUUAUUUGAUCUUGCCAUGUGUAUGACUUUCCAAAUUAUUUCCCUGAGGUCAGUAUUUUUGUGAUUUACUUUUUUUCACAGGUAAUUUUUAAACUGUUGAUAUCAGAGUUUUUAUUAUGGUAUUUGAUUUAUAUUACAACAAUGAUAAUUUACUUAAUAGAGAGUUGUGUUAGAAAUUAGAUAAUUAAUUGUAUUAUCUAGCUAUGUCGAUAUUUCUUCUUAACCAAACUAUCAAAAAAAAAAAAAAUCGUACACGUUUAGUUGUCCCAAACUAAAAUCUUAUAUUAUACGAGUAGAAUAUUAAAAACAUAGAAUUACAACUAUGAAAUGUUUAUUUCAAACUGAAAUUGAAUAAUUAUCGUGUUAGUUUACGUAAUCUGGUUUGUACUGCAACAAGUUUUUAUUUAUUUCCUAAAUAUAGUAACACAGAUAUAUUUGGUGCAAUGUCGAUUUCAUCAUGGAACACUUUCUCCACAAUCAGAGGUUCCUUAAAGGAUAAAAAUAAGUUUAGAAUUAAUUUUACAAUUUAAAAAGCUAUUAACGUAAGAUUUAAGAUGCAGUUUAAAGACAAUAUUAGGUCAAUGUCAAAAAAAUAUAAACCUUUAUGUAUUGUGCGCAAAAAUGAACCUCGCCCUUUUACAUUUUCGAAUCCUCAUACAAAAAAGUUUAUACUUUUCUGACAUUUACCUUAUAUUGUAUAUGUAUAUGAAAUAAUGUGUAAAAUAUUCUGUUCGCAUUAAUCAAAUUAAAACAAGUUAUAAGCAAAAGAAAACCAAGUAGAAACCCUCCCGUUAGGGGUUUAUUAACAUACCAUCAAAAAAUAUAUCAGAAGAACAUAUCAUGCCAAGAAUCGAUGUGUUUAUUUCCGAUGCAAAGACCCUAUUAGUGAAUCAUCAUUAAUACUAAAAAAUUCAAUCUUUAAUAACGGUAUCGUAACUUUAUCCUUUUCAAAUAAGUCUGUUCAAAGGUUUAGUUAGCUUUGGGGUGAAAACCGAUAUUUUUCGGCUUUAUAAAGAAUAUUUACAUAAAAUAUUGGAUGUGAAAUACCUGAUUGUAUAAGAUAGUCUGCAUGUUGAUUUAUAUUUACGAAUGAAGUCCGUGUAAUGAUGAUAAAUGCAAACCUAAUUUAUAAUAUAAGUAUCAAUAUUAAGUUUUUCAAUAGAAUUCUUAAGCUUAUAUGCUGGGUAAAUAGUUAUCAAAGGUACCAGGAUUAUAAUUUAAUACGCCAGACGCGCGUUUCGUCUACAUAAGACUCAUCAGUAACGCUCAGAUCAAAACAGUUAAAAAGCCAAACAAAUACAAAGUUGAAGAGCAUUGAGGACCCAAAAUUCAAAAAAGUUGUGCCAAAUACGGCUAAGGUAAUCUACUAAAUCUGGGGGUAAGAAAAUCCUUAAAUUUGUUAUGCAUAUAUAUCGGUUUGUAGGGGAAAAGUGUUAGUGGAAGUUUCACAGAAUUUGGUGCAUAUAGAAUAUUGGGAACAAAAUUUGCUUGAUAUUAUAUUUGCGCUAGUUUUUAAUACAGAUUUCUUUAAUCCGUCGGACAUAUUCAAAUAAGCAAAAUCGAGUUAUUUACUUAUAUAUAUGUUGUUUCGUUGUUUCCCUUGCUUUUAUUGUUGAUGUGUUUACUUCAGUUUUAGCUUGUAACCCAGGUUUGUUUUCUCUCAAUCGAUUUGCGACCUUCGAACAGCGGCAUACUACUGUUGCUUUAUUUACCUUGUUUUCAUGUUUAAAGAAACACAAGAACCUUUCUGUUACUUUUCUCUUCUUUUUUUAUUGUAUUUGAAAAACAUUAAGAUGGUUCACAGAUACUUUAGAACAAGUAAUCUUGAUGAACAGUUCUAGAGAUGCAUAUCAAAUGUACAUCUGUAAAGCUAUAUAUAAACUGUAUAGCUGUAAAGCUGUAUAAGAACUGUACAUAUGUAAAGAGGUAUAUAAACUGUACAUAUGUUAAGCUGUAGAUAAACUAUACAUCUGGAAAACUGUAUAUAAACUGUACAUUUUUAAAGCUGUAUAUAAACUCUGGAAAAAUGUACAUUUACUGCAAAAUUUUAAAUCUGUGUAUAAGCUAAACAUAUAGAUACUACCACUCCACCUUGUGUAAUACGAUAUCUAUCCACAGUUUAUAUACAGCUUUACAGGUGAAUAUUUGAUAUGCAUCUUUAGAAUUGUUCAUCAAGAUUACUUGUACAAAAGUAGCUGUGUACCAUCUAGACCUUUAUAUAUAUAUGCGUCUAAAGAAAUUGACAUAUAAUUACCUUUUUGAUCUUUGAUGAGAACACAUCCCUUCAUGUUCCAAAGCAGGAUCACAGUAAGUGGAGCAUAAACUAGCACAUAUUCUAAAGCAUAACUCACAAUUGUUAUCAUAUUGCUUAAUUCCGGUUUGUUAAACUUUACUUGGCUAUAAAUUGCAUCUUGGUGUUUGAAACCGUAAAGACCAAUUCCAAAAACUAGCAAUAAAACAGUUGAAAUGAAACUUCCAUUUUGAAAUAUUUUUGUUCUAAACUCCUCUUUUGUAAAUUCAGUCAUACACACCACUCCAAAAGUCAAUAUAAAACAGGCAACAGGAAAAGUGUACCAAUCGAACACGAACUCAGUUAUUCCAUCUAGAUGAUAUGUUGAUUUUAGCCAGUUGAUUGACACAAAACUAUGAUGAAUGAAUCCGAUAAACAAAGCGAGGAAUAAACCGUGAGAGUUGGUGUGGUCAUACUUCAAGAAUAUCGAUAGAAAUAAUAGAAAUAUGAGUAUUCCCAAAACCAGAAAAAGUAAUAUGCAGGACAGAUGAGCAUUUUGAACGAAACUUUCAGAAAAGUUGAAUGAAAAAAUAUCGAACAUCAUUCACUCGUGCUGGCUUUCUUGUAUUUCCACUUCUGUUCUGACUUCCUGAUUCAUCGGCUUUUCACCUACAUUAAAUAAAGAUAUGAGAAAAUGAUUUUAUGAAUACAACUUAAGACAAACGGAAACACUUGUCAUUCGGUUCUAUUCUACUUUGUUGAUUUUUUACUUAGUAUGAUGUAUAAACCAGCACCGACUCUCUUUUGAAGAAGCCAGGUUAAUAUAUCAGUAAGAUUUAAAUGUCUUCAUGCGACUGUUAAAGAUAUUUCAAUUUUGUGUUUGAAUGAAUCCGAUUAAUAAAGCGAGGAAUAAACUGUGUGAAUUUGUGUGGUUCCUACUUUUAGAAUGUUGAUAGAAAUAAUAGAAUUAUGAGUAUUCCCAAAACCAGAAACUAUAAUAUGCAGGACAAAUGAACAUAUUCAACAAAACUUUCAGAAAAGUUGAAUGAAAAAAUGUCAAACAUCAUUCAAUCGUGAUUGCUUUCUUUUAUUUUCAAUUCUGUUCUGACUUCCUGAUUCAUCGGUUCAUCAGCUACAUUAAAACAAUGAGACGGUUUUAGUUCAAUUUGUAACAAACUGCAACACUUGUCAUACAAUUUAACAUUCCAGUUCGAUUUUGUAUUGGUUAUUACGAUCAGCGCAAAUAGUUGGUUUGUGAGAAUCCAUAAUAUUGUUGGUAAAAUGUAUAUGUGUGUUCCAUUUUGAUGAGAAAAGAACUCCAUGUUUUUUUUUUCAGUUACACAAAACAAAAAAUACAAAAAAAGUGGUUUUUAACGUGUGUAGUGUAUUGAUCUUGUAAAACACAAGGUAUAUAUUAAUUUUUUUUUAAUAUAAACUAGAACACACCCGUGAUAUCGCGGGUCCGUGACUGAAUUAAAGUACAUAACUAUGCGUAAUCCUUAUUUUAGUAUUAGUAUUGUCAUCUGAUAAAGUCAUUCCGAUUAUAAGAUACACAGUUUUCUCUGCUUUCAAACUCUUCCUGUCUGAACCAGUCGACCUUGAACUUAUCAAUAUUAAUUAUUUGGAAAACAAAAGGUCCUGGAAUGGAGUAUCUUUUAAUCAACAGCAGUGUCCUAUAUAAGUAUGAAUAAGUUGAAUUCUUUGAAUCGCUGUUUUACGUUAUGCCCGCUAACAAAUUGAAAACUGUACCUAUACGCCUUAUUUAAGUCCAGAUUUUACUUGAAGUAUUAAUUCGUAUUGUUAUCUUAGAAAGUCUUACUGAUUAAAAUACUACAAUAGGGAACAAUUUGACAAUGAUUGAAUGUAGUAGUGUCAACCCUGUGAUUAUGACCCGUGUAUAUAGCAAAAUCCUAAAUACACCGUUAAACUUUGACGGUGCACAUGUCAGAUGCGGAACGUACAGAUAAGAUAAUAGGUAACAGGUGAAUAUACUAUUGGUAUCGGUAUCGAUUCGACCCGGAACUUGUUAAUUAUUGGCAAUAUUAAUUAUGUGGAAAAGAACAGGGUCUGAAGUGGUGUAAUUUUUAAUCUACACCAUUAUCCUAUAUUAGCUAUAUAUAAAGUUCAAUUCUUUGAUUUGUCGUUUUUACCCGAUGACGGCUGAUAAAUUGGACCUCGUUAUUUUACUAUUAUAGAUAAAGCCUUUAGUUUUCUCGUUUGAAUUGUUUUACAUUGUCAAUUCGGGACCUUUUUUACUUUUUUAGCUGACUAUGCGGUAUGAUCUUUGCUCAUUUUUGAAGGCCGUAUGGUGACCUAUAGUUGUUAAUUUCUGUGUCAUUUUGGCCUCUUGUGGAAGGAUGUCUCAUUGGCAAUCAUACUACAUCUUCCUUUUCAUAUAAUAAUAUUAUGCAGUCUUGAAUAUGUAUAACAUUGUACCACUGGACGACAAAAAGUGUCUUGCAGUGACCGUUUGCAUUUCAAGACAAACUUCGACACAUAAUUCAUAUCCGUUCCGAUCCAUACUUCGUUUUACUGCAAGUAUUAAAGUAGUAUUACAAAUUCUUGGCUUGGGGUUGGCCUUAUAUGUUCCUAAGGCGUGUGUGGGAAAUCAACUAUGAAGCGAUGGGAUUAAAUGUAAGAGUAUAUAUUUCUUUUAUUAUUGAUGAUGAAUGCAGUGUGUAUUUUUACAGUAUUAAUUUUAAAACACAUUGAAAUAGUUUCUUUGGAAAUUAUUCGAAAAAGUUUCACAAUUGUCACAAAUUUGAUGUUUACGACAGUGGCCAUGGAUACUUUAAACAAUCAAUAAUUUGACUUCAAUUUCUUAAACAGAAUAAUGAACACAUUUCUGUUUUUUGAUGUUUUAUUAUAUAAAGUGGCAAAUGUAGAAAAUGUUCGAUUAUUAAAGGGAAGUCUUGCGAAGCAUUUACGAAAGAAUAUAACUCUGUGACGGAGAUUGUUUGUGCGAUAUCACGUUGAAAAGCCUCUAGGGGCGCCGUAACCGUUCCGAAUAUUCCUUCAUGUGCUGUCGUCUAGGAUAUGUAUGAUAUAUUAACUUUUGAACGUCAAGACGUAACAGGUUGAAAUUUCUUACAGUGAACUAUUACCUUGUUAAAUUGCAUGUCAAAAUCAGAAUCAUGCUGCGUGUCGGUCUAGUGCAACAUGUUGUCUAUUUAAUUGAUUUCUUAAAUACGCAUCAUGUGAUGUCUCUUUUUUAUGCAUUAUUAAUAUACUUACCCCUAGGCGUCACCAAAAGUUGAAAUGUGUUCCAGUGCAAUAUUCCAGUGUGAGAGAGAAUAUAAAUAUUUGAUUUGUGUAGUGUCUCGUUCUAUUGGAGUACAUUCCGCAAAAACUAUUAACCCAUUAUAUCGUCCUCAAUUGGUAUAAAACAUAAUCCUAUGAACGUUAAGCAGUAAUCCCUCAGUCAAUGAAAUCAUUUUCACAUUUUUUCUUAAAGUACAAAUCUGUAUAAAUGGUGAUAUUUACAUUAAUCAGUUUCAAGUUUUAGAUAAAUAAAUAACCUGUUAAAAAUAACUUUAAAUCAAUUCUUUGUUCACUAGUUUUUUCCCCAUUAUGUUUAGUCUGUACUAGACCGUGACGUUUAAAUCGAUGUAGCAUGGAAUUUAUUCACCUACAGAUUUUUAAGCAAAAAUAUAUUUAUAAAAAUAUAAUAAUAAUUUUUUCGGGUGAAUGAUCUUAUAGAAUGUUUAGAAAUGACUUAAAUUACACGAAAAAUGUUAUUUUUGUUUUACAUUGAUAUACAUUUUACCAUCUAUUGGCAUGUAUGAGGGCCUCCGUGGGGUACUUAUUAAUAAUGUUUUUAAUUUUUAAGACAAUUUUUCACUAUUCUCAAUUUUGCUUUUCCCAUUACCUCUAUUCUUUUUUGAGAACCCAACUUCUCUAUUGUUUGCCUACUUUUUUCUUUUGAUAUUUUGUUGCAACUUUACUCUGCUCAUGUAGUGUGCACGCCCAUUAUUCUAGGUUAUGUAAAUCCAAUUAAAACCCGACUAAAAUUUAUGCAUAUUAGGUACGAUAACGUAUAUAUAUAUAUACUAAUGUUAUAUAAAUAUGAAUCGUGUUUCAUACCUGGAUAGUUUAAAGCAAUUGUGCAUAAAGUAAAAUAAUGUUCUGCAAUGAGCCAUUUCACUCUUAUAUGUCCUAUAAUGCUUUUCUUGAUAGAGGGCUGCUGCUCAAAAAGAAGCUAUUAAACCAAGAGUUUCAAAUGGUGAAGUUGAAAUCGUCCCUUUGGUAUUUUUACGGACGCCAUCACGAGUUCGUUGACCGUUAUGGAAUAAAUCUUCCACAAAUGAUAUAGGAUACAUUCCUUAUGUCGUAACUACAAUCCUCUUCCCUUUUCACGAAUGUGACCUACCGAAUUAUACUAUUUACCGGAUUUGUAAUAACAUAAACAACACGAUAAGUGCCUCAUGUGGAGCAGGAUCUACUUACCAUUCCGGAGGACAUGAGAUCACCCCAAGUUUUUGGCGGGGUUCGUGUUGUUUAGUCUUCAGUUUUCUAUGUUGUGUCUUGCGUACUUUUACUUGUCUGGUUGUCUUUUUCUUUUUAAGCCAUGUCGCUGUCAGUUUAUUUUCAAUCUAUGAGUUUGACUGUCCCUUUGGUAUCUUUCACCCCUCUUCUACACGGGUUUAUUCCAUUGUCCCACUUUUUAAAAUUCUAGAGUUCUGAUUGUCCCACAUUAUUUUAUGUAGUAAUUUUAUGUAUUGUUUGUUUUGCUACAUAAACAAGAAUUAAUUAUUGCACAUUCAAUAUUAAAUCAUUAGAUUGAUAUAUUUAUACACUUUUGAUUAAAAAAAUAUAAUAUUCCUGAUUUAUGAAAUAUAUCUUUUAAGGUCUUGAAUUUUUUUUAAACCUGAUUUUUGGUUUUUUUUAUGACUCUAGAAAAAAAAUUGGUGUCGAUAGAAUCAAAUGGUGGUGCACUUUAUUGUGCUACGGCCGUUUGAAAGUACCUAAUUCUGAUGAUUUUCCUAGUUUUCAUCACAUUUUACCAUUUGUUUGCCUAUUAUCAUGAAAAAAACACAGUUUCACAAUUAGACUUUUUUUCAUACUUUCAAUAAAGAUAGAAUGGGACCAAUCUCAAUAGAUCUAACUUGAAAUACUAGAAGUAGGUGUUAAUAUAAGAAAGUUUUAUAAAAUUUUACUGCUUUUUGUGACAAAUUGACCAUGCUGUCAUUUUUUGUCUAUUUUAGAUUUUUCUCUUUUUUAGAACAAAAAUCUUUUUUAUUCAACUUCUUUGUUACAAAUGAUUGAAUAAAUACAUAUAAGAGAGCUUUGAAAAGAAAAAAAUUGAAUGCUUUUGGUAACAUCAUUUCUGGUAUCCGCACCCAUUUUCUGUAAAUUUGCUGCUGUCUGGAAUUUUGCCAGAUCCUUUCCAAGAAGCACUAUUUAAGGCUGUUUUUCCAAUUUUACCAUUGUUUUUGCAGUCCACAGGACUCUUCCCCAACUAUAAAGAAGAGCAAACUUCCAUAAAAAAAUAAGAUGUGGUAUGAUUGCCAAUGAGACAACUCUUCGAAAGAGACCAAAAUGACACAUAAACUAACAAUUAUAGGUCACCAUAUGGCCUUCAACAAUGAGGAAAUACCAUACCACAUAGGUUAAAAAAAGCAACAAAAUGACGAAUUUAAAACAAUUCAAAUGAGAAAACUUAUAGCAUUAUCAAUGUACAAAAUAUUGAACGAAAAAACAAAUAUGUUACACAGCAACAAACUACCACCACUGAAAUAAAGAUUCCUGACUUGUGGCAUCACCACAACAAAGACACUAAGUACAGAUCUGAGAGUACUUACAGUUACUGACCGCUUAUUCAGCGCCAAAACAAACUACAUAGAAAACAAAACAUGCAUCUAAGACUAUUUUUUUAAAGACUUCAUAUACUAUUAUAUAAUAUUAUAUAAUAUUAUAUGAUGCUUCAAUUGAUCCUACUACGAGUAAAAUAAAAUAUGUAAAUAUUAUUUGUUCUUAUUUUUAUUAUAUUUUAUAAUUUACAUUGAUCAUGUUGAUUAAUAACUUUUGAUUAGUUUCAAAACCCUAUAAAACCAAUUUAAUCACUUUAGAAACAGCUCCAAUUGUCCCACAUUUAAACUUCCUAAUUAUCCCACAAACAUAUUUCUGAUUGUCCCACAUAAUGUCAUUACUUUUUCACCUGUAAUUUUAAAAUGUGGGACAAUGGUAAGGACACCUCUAUACGAAGGAAUAUUCAGAUUCCGAUCCGAACAUUCCUAAACGCUGCAUUGCGAUGGUAGAAGAAGCCGAUACCAUGUGUUUGAUGAGUUCUAUCAUUGGAUUUUGCCAUUUUAUGAGGGACUCUCCGUUUUGAAUUUUCCUCGGAGUUCAGUACUUUUAUUAUUUACAUUUAUAAAAACAUUAUUGAUUUGAUUUGUGCACGAUACACCCCUCCUUUAACAUCACUAAUGACACACAGCACAUUCCGAUUUUCGGGUAUUUGGUUUGUCCAAAUACGCCCUUUCACACUUGAAGAUCAUACUAGCAUGAGAUUACAAAGGCGAUUGAUUUAAUUGGAAUAGGUUCUUCUUUUUCUCCAGCAGUAUCUCAUGAAUCGUCGAACUUGUGACAAUUAAUCUAUUAUGUUGUUACUAUUGACAUAAUUGAGGUCAAGUUUGAUAUUGACGAUUUUCACUUUUUUUCUCAUAGUAGGUUUUUUUUUGAAAAGGAAAAAUUUUCAAAUUCUGAUUAGUUUUUACUGAUGAUAAACCUAACUAUUGCGGUCCAAGAGUUAUUUCCCUUCUUGGCGUUCAAUUGAUUUUAAGAGGAAUGAGAACACGGUGUGUUGCCAUCUGUACAGCCUCUGUUUCAGAAUAUUAAUACGAGUAUAGUAUCCUUAAUGAGUAGAUUGAUGCAAAUGCAGUUUUUGUGCUUUAGGGAUCAGGAUACAAAUAAAAGUUACAUAUUCCCUGAUUAAUUUCAGUAUUCAAAUAAUGUAUGAUGCUUCUACUUCUCGAAGGAUAGUUUUCCACAUUUUUAGUUUGAUUUGAACUAAUCUCUAGCGUUAUUAAGAGACAAACAAGUUCGUAAAAGUCCAUAAGACGUCAAAGCAACCUCUGACUAAAUUUUGGAAAGUGUAAAAAUAAAAACUACAAUUCUUUUUUUUAUAUUUUUAAUAUACAAUUGAUAGGUUUAUAUAAGGAUCGGAUGUUUUUGCUUUUCUAAUCCAAACAAGUCAUUUAAUCUGUGAUUGCAGCUAUGAUCGAUGCCAUUGAUUUUAUCAAACCCUUCUUGUAGAAAAUGCCAUAGUAUAGUCAUAUACACAAUGUACAUUGUAAUGCUUGGAAUUAUAUCUUGUGACAAAAAUGUGUACCGGAAGUUAAUAAUCCAAACAAUUGGUCUCACGAUCCAAAUAACACACAUCAUGAACAACAAGUUGUAUCUGUGUACCAUAACAUUUUUGUCACACGUCAUACACUGAUGGUGAUGCGGGCCUGACAGAGGUCAAUCAAGAUACAAUGGGGACAUACAUUGGAGUUGUAUAUAUAUUUGCUGGUGGAAAAUUAGUAAACAUAAGUCUUUGCCGAUCUUGCAACAUAUUUUGUCGCGGGUGUGAUGUGUACAAGAUUCACGUAUCAACAUUUUGUUAAUAGAUGUUUCAUGUAAUAAAUUUUGAAGAACAUGUAUAUUUAUAUUAUGUUGCUGAAUCUUUUAAUGAUAAUUCUAAUUCUUUAGAUGAUAAUCAAAAGUUAGUGUUUUUAUUCUCAGAUGUAAAUAUGAUACGUGUGAGUGCCAAAACCUGUCAUUUGAUUUUAAAAAAAACGUAGAAAUUUUAUAUAUAAUUGUAAAUAGGAUUUUAUUUCAUAUUGUGUAUUAUAUCUAUGCAUUUUAAUAGUCUCUUAUAAUUCUGUAUAGAAUGGCUCUCAUUUUAUUUAGUGUUAUUUUACAAUGUAUAAAGAUUGAUUGUACUUGUUGAGAGAUGAGACUUUAAUAAAACAUUGAAUUGAAUUGUAUAUGUUACUUGAAUGAAAAAGAAAUAUAAAAGACUUGACCAUAGUUUCGCCUCAACGAGAACGUAAACUUCAAUGCAUUUGUAUUACACUAUCAAAAUCACAAAAAAAAAAAAAAGCGAGAUGUUGUUUUUGGUAUAAAGUUCAUUAAAAAGAAAAAUCACUAACAAAAACUCGGUGGAAACUUCAAAAAGGAAAGUCCUUAAUCACAUGGCAAAAUCAAAAGCUAAAGCUCAUUAAACGAAUAGAUAUUAACUGUCAUAUUCUUUACCUGGUACAGGCAUUUUCUUACGUAGAAAAUGGUAGAUAUCAGCAGUAUAUCACGGAUUCACAAUACAUUUUCUAAACAACAAUAUACAUUUAUUCCUAAUCGAUUCUAAACAGUAAGACACACACUGUUAUUGAUCAGUACAACGGAAACAGGGGUUGUGUUUGAACUACAUAACGGACACUCUUAUUCUAUUAACACAGUUUGUUCAUUUCUUUUAUUAAAGUUGACAGUUAAUCAUAUGAGUUCUCUCAAUAUUAUCAUAAAAAAAUAAAUAUAUCAAACGUCACAAUACCUUGACAAAGGACCAAAUAAUCUCCAUGAAAAUAAGUGCGUCAGUGCUACUAUCAGUGACUAUUUUUACCUUAAGCAGUUUCCGUUUACCCGACACAAUCGCACAUUCAACAACCGUUGUCGCCAGCGGCACGUUUGGCGGAAACUAAAAUCAUUAGUUUUUUCUCACAUGCUAGUGGACUAUCCCCUUUCCAGCCUGCCAUAUUAACUGUGAACAGUGAUCAAUUAACCAAAUACAAAAACAAAUUAUUUUUUAAAUGAUCACUGGAAGAGGCAUGACUUACUUGUUAGAUCAGUGUUAAGUUCGGUAUUUUUGUGGUUUUACUUUUUAGUCAAUGGAUCUAUAUGUUUAUAUGGAUUGUCAAGAUAAUGGAAUUGCAUACGACCGUCACACAAAUAAAUGGUUUAGUUAGCUAUAAAGCCCAGUCUUAUUCGCCAUUUUCUACAUAAAACAUGCCUGUACCAAGUAAGGAAUAUAUUACAGUUAUUAUCCAUUCGUUUGACAUGUUUGAGCCUUUGCCCUUGCCAUUUGAUAAGGGACUUUCCCUUUUAACUUUUCCUCGGAGUUCGUUUUUUGUGUGUGUGGUUUUUUUUUAAUUUUAACGUUAUUUACAAACUUUAAAAACAACAUGUAACAAUUAAAUAGGCUAAACUGUUUGUAAUCAGAUUACUUCACGAAGUAUCUUAUUUAAAACAAAAUUUAGUUUCUGCAUAAAUAAAAGAAAAGUUUAUGUAUUUUUUGUAAUUUUUUGUAAUUGGUUUUCAGGCUGAAAAUUUUAAUGUUCAACAUGUAAACAUCGUGUAGUUUGAAGGAAAUGCAAAGACGUAUGCCUUUUCCAAUUGAAGGAAGCCCCUUUAUCAGUAUGUAAAAGCCUUUGUGGAUUAUCAGAAAAAAUUACUCAUUAGGUUUUUAUCAAAUAAUGAGCGAGUCAUCAACCUCACAAAACUUGGAGAGUGUUUUUAUAGGCUACGCAUGUUGCUCAAUCCCUUUUAUAUCUUAAUGAAUAAAAUAUGUUUUAAAUCAAAAUCACAAAACUCGGAAUUAUACACUAAGUUACCUUGUUGACCACUAGACACGCAUGUCGAUACGUUCCACAGCAGGAUAAAGGUGACAGGAGCAUAAACUAAAACAUAUUCCAAAACACAGCAUACAAAACAACUGUUGUAUUUAACCAUAGAUACAAGUCCUCUCAGUAUAUUCUCAUCUGUUUGUUUUACAGCGUAUUCAGAAUAGAAUAAGUCAAACUUGUGGAACUCAAUGUUGUGAUGCUGGCUGCUAAAGCUGUGACAACCUCCUAUUACGAUAACUAGAAGCAAUACUAAAGAUAUGUAAACUCCAUAUAUAAAUGUACUGAGUCUGGUUCUUAAUUCCUCUUUUGACCAUUCUGUCAUAGAUAUUACGCCAAGUGUAAGAAUAAAACAGGCGACGGGAAAUGAGUAGCUAUCUAAUACGAAUGGACUGAUUCCAUAUAAUAGAUAUGUUGAUUUAAGCCAGGUCAUGAACGCAAAGCUUUCAUGAAAAAAUCCAAUUAACAAAACAAGAAAUAAACUGUUUGAAAAUUUGUGAUUUUGCUUCAAAAAUUUAAUCGGAAGUGCCAUCAGUAUGAUUCCAAAUACCAUAGUUAAAACAAUACUCGAUAGUUGGAAAUAUUGAAAGACACUACUGGACGAGAUGAUUGAUGAAAAGUCGGACAUUUUUUUCUUUUCCGUCUUGUUAUGGCUUGAAUACUGAUCUAAUUUCACUUGAAUAAGACAAUAAGUCAGAACUUAGUUAUAUCAGUGGAGAUUUCAAGACUCUGAAAAUUUUAAUAUCCAGCUCACGGAAAUUCUUGCCGUUUGAUUACUUAAGAACGUUCAUACACAUUCGUCACAACUCGGCUGAUUCCGUACCUUGAUACUUACGGAGAGUAGCGGAUUCAUCCGAGGAUUGCCGAUUGGUUUAUUACAGUCAAGGUAACAUUUUGAAAAGUUUGGAGUAAGACUAAUGUGUCAGCUAGUAAGUAGAUUCCAAUAUUUCCCGAAGAAUUAUUAUCU
This 18827-nucleotide long non-coding RNA is filed under the name Mytilus galloprovincialis (Mediterranean mussel). Lineage: Eukaryota; Metazoa; Mollusca; Bivalvia; Mytilida; Mytilidae. The record is from RNAcentral.